UCGACCUAUUCUCAAACUUUAA
RNAcentral lists this non-coding RNA (22 nucleotides) under Arabidopsis thaliana (thale cress). The record is from RNAcentral. Lineage: Eukaryota; Viridiplantae; Streptophyta; Magnoliopsida; Brassicales; Brassicaceae.